This 73-nucleotide transfer RNA is filed under the name Mustela putorius furo (domestic ferret). It matches the Rfam family "tRNA". From Rfam's summary of the family: Transfer RNA (tRNA) molecules are approximately 80 nucleotides in length. Their secondary structure includes four short double-helical elements and three loops (D, anti-codon, and T loops). Lineage: Eukaryota; Metazoa; Chordata; Mammalia; Carnivora; Mustelidae. The record is from Rfam by way of RNAcentral.
GCCUGACUGGUUCAGUUGGUAGAGUGUGUGACUCUUGAUCUCAGGGUUAUGAGUUUGAGCCCCAUGUUGGGUA